AGAGUUUGAUCCUGGCUCAGAAUGAACGCUGGCGGCGUGCCUAACACAUGCAAGUCGAACGGUAAGGCCCCUUCGGGGGUACACGAGUGGCGAACGGGUGAGUAACGCGUGGGUAAUCUACCUAGAAGUGGGGGAUAGCUCCGGGAAACCGGGGGUAAUACCGCAUGAGUCUCAGAUGACGCAAGUCGACUGAGGGAAAGACGGGGAUCUUCGGACCUGUCGCUUUUAGAUGAGCCCGCGUCCGAUUAGCUGGUUGGUGAGGUAAUGGCUCACCAAGGCAUCGAUCGGUAGCCGGCCUGAGAGGGUGAUCGGCCACAUUGGGACUGAGACACGGCCCAGACUCCUACGGGAGGCAGCAGUGGGGAAUUUUGGGCAAUGGGGGAAACCCUGAUCCAGCAAUGCCGCGUGUGUGAAGAAGGCCUGCGGGUUGUAAAGCACUUUCAGUAGGGAGGAAAUCCUUGCGGUUAAUAACCGUAAGUGUUGACGUUACCUACAGAAGAAGCACCGCUAAC
This 512-nucleotide ribosomal RNA is filed under the name uncultured bacterium. RNAcentral describes it as "bacterial SSU rRNA". It matches the Rfam family "Bacterial small subunit ribosomal RNA", at positions 8 to 501 of the family's 1533-position model. The record is from RNAcentral.